Molecule: ribosomal RNA, 465 nt
Filed under: uncultured bacterium
Lineage: Bacteria
Description: bacterial SSU rRNA
Rfam family: Bacterial small subunit ribosomal RNA
Source: RNAcentral
CCUACGGGAGGCAGCAGUGGGGAAUAUUGCACAAUGGGCGCAAGCCUGAUGCAGCCAUGCCGCGUGUGUGAAGAAGGCCUCCGGGUUGUAAAGCACUUUCAGCGGGGAGGAAGGCGAUAAGGUUAAUAACCUUGUCGAUUGACGUUACCCGCAGAAGAAGCACCGGCUAACUCCGUGCCAGCAGCCGCGGUAAUACGGAGGGUGCAAGCGUUAAUCGGAAUUGCUGGGCGUAAAGCGCACGCAGGCGGUCUGUCAAGUCGGAUGUGAAGUCCCCGGGCUCAACCUGGGAACUGCAUUCGAAACUGGCAGGCUAGAGUCUUGUAGAGGGGGGUAGAAUUCCAGGUGUAGCGGUGAAAUGCGUAGAGAUCUGAAGGAAUACCGGUGGCGAAGGCGGCCCCCUGGACAAAGACUGACGCUCAGGUGCGAAAGCGUGGGGCGCAAACAGGAUUAGAUACCCGCGUAGUC